RNAcentral lists this transfer RNA (67 nucleotides) under Sphinx morio (larch hawk moth). Its description in RNAcentral is "tRNA-Leu". The record is from RNAcentral. Lineage: Eukaryota; Metazoa; Arthropoda; Insecta; Lepidoptera; Sphingidae.
GCUAUUUUGACAGAAAAAUGUGAUGAUUUUAGAAGUCAUUAAUAUAUAAUUUAUUAUAUAUGUAGUA